This is a non-coding RNA of Glycine soja, 87 nucleotides long. Lineage: Eukaryota; Viridiplantae; Streptophyta; Magnoliopsida; Fabales; Fabaceae. The record is from Rfam.
UGCUAUGAUGAUGAGAUCAAAUAAUCUCGUUAAUCUGAUUCUUUCAUGAGGAUAACUUUUCUCAUCCAGUCAAUAUUCUUUCUGAGC